Engraulis encrasicolus (European anchovy) is the source of this 78-nucleotide small nucleolar RNA. RefSeq annotates it as small nucleolar RNA SNORD83. The transcript has a single exon. The record is from RefSeq and is a predicted model, not a curated record. Lineage: Eukaryota; Metazoa; Chordata; Actinopteri; Clupeiformes; Engraulidae.
GCCACAUGAUGAAUUUUAGAUUACAAUAGCACUCUGUGCAAAGAUGACCUGUUAUCUAUCACCCAAUGACUGAUGGCA